Molecule: long non-coding RNA, 210 nt
Organism: Cyprinodon tularosa
Lineage: Eukaryota; Metazoa; Chordata; Actinopteri; Cyprinodontiformes; Cyprinodontidae
Exons: 3
Source: RefSeq, a predicted model, not a curated record
GUUCUCUGAGUGGUGUCAUCUGAAGGACACAUGCUGCAUGUGGAGAGGCUGAUCAUCCUGUGAGUAACAUGCUGAGAACAGAGGGGAACGUCCCUCCAAGUUGCAGAGCCUUGAAAAGAACUGCGCAGCAUUCUGAGGGAUACAUGCAGGACAGAGGAUUUAGCCGCUCAACCUCUGAAGAGCAAGCUACGUAAAGUUGGAGCUGACCUC